Molecule: ribosomal RNA, 460 nt
Filed under: uncultured bacterium
Lineage: Bacteria
Description: partial 16S ribosomal RNA
Rfam family: Bacterial small subunit ribosomal RNA
Source: RNAcentral
CCUACGGGUGGCAGCAGUGAGGCAUAUUGGUCAAUGGGCGGGAGCCUGAACCAGCCAAGUCGCGUGAGGGAAGACGGUCCUAUGGAUUGUAAACCUCUUUAGGCGGGGAGCAAUGCCGGGCACGCGUGCCCGGAGGGAGAGUACCCGCAGAAUAAGCAUCGGCUAACUCCGUGCCAGCAGCCGCGGUAAUACGGAGGAUGCGAGCGUUAUCCGGAUUUAUUGGGUUUAACGGGUGCGUAGGCGGAUUUUUAAGUCAGCGGUAAAAUGUCCGGGCUCAACCCGGGCCGGCUGUUGAAACUGGGGAGCUUGAGUGGGCGAGAAGUAUGCGGAAUGCGUGGUGUAGCGGUGAAAUGCGUAGAUAUGAGGAGGAACACCGGUGGCGAAGGCGGCUUACUGGACUGUAACUGACGUUGAGGCUCGAAGGCGUGGGGAGCAAACAGGAUUAGAUACCCGGGUAGUC